Long non-coding RNA from Erinaceus europaeus (western European hedgehog), 1249 nucleotides. RefSeq lists it as uncharacterized. The record is from RefSeq and is a predicted model, not a curated record. NCBI's taxonomy places the organism in Eukaryota, Metazoa, Chordata, Mammalia, Eulipotyphla, Erinaceidae. The transcript has 10 exons.
AGCCUGCCUCAGUUUCUUCCUUAAUGAUGCAACCUUGGCCACCUGCAUACCUCCCUUGUGUAUCUGGAUGAUUGGCUCUGAGCUUGCAAAGUACUUUGAAUUUCUUGGAUGAAAGGAUCUCUGUAUCUGCAGGCAUGCACAUGCAGAGCAAACAUUUUGUUUUUUAACUGCUGCUUUUUGACUCCUGUGGAAUUAAAAAGAAAGCGCAGGAUAUCAGAGGAGAGGAUGGACUGUUUCUGGACCCCACAUCACAGGAAUCAGAAGAGGAUAUUCUGCUGCUUUCUGCCUUUUCAUGGAGCAGUCUAGGAAUAAGAACCUAUUUUUCUAUUUCAAGCAGUGAAGGAUUUAAUACAUGGAACUGGGUUGCAUUUGUUAAAAGAACUGGAGGAACAAAUCCAGAUGCAGCUCGCAACUCCGCAUGCUAAAAGGAAAUCAAAACUGCUUAUCUGAAACAUCUUCAUCAUCCAUUUGGAAAUGAAGAAUUCAGUCUGCUCCACUUCCAUCCCUGCAGGAAGCUACAUGGAGCUGACUACUUCUCAGUCUGGACUUGAUCUCAAGAUGAAUCCUUUGGUAAAGUUACGCCAGUCUCAUCCCAUGAAGGUCUAAAUCUUGAUUUUGAAAUUUCUGCAGUGCCUGACAUUAUCAACUGAAGCACUCCAACCCAAGGGAAGUCCACCAAGCAUCUUCUAAAUGUUAAGAAUCUCUGCUUAAUUCUUGGGAUAAAAGAUAGAUUAGAUGUUGGAUCUAUCCUCAAAGCAUUUAAAUUCUGGUAGAAGAAAUUCUCUUGGAUUCAGGUACAAUUGACUAUACUGUUCAGAAUGCGGAUUCAGGAAAGCUGAAAGAUGAUUUGAAGUGCUGCUGAAUCCAAGUGUGACUGCCAGAAAGAAUCCAGAAAAGCCAAAGAACCUGAGUAUGUCAGGCCUUCCUGUAGCCAUCACACACACUUAAAACCCUAAGAAAAGGAAUGAGGAUCAGUGGGGAAAAGAGGGCCAAUCAGAGAUAGAUACCACAAAUCUACCAUUCAUGGAGCUUCCAUUGAUGCCAUGAUGUUUCUAUGUGGUGUUAGACUAUAACCCAGGGCCUUAUGUAUGAAAAAGUGGCAGAAAGAGCAGGAGUGAUACCACAGCACCAUUUCAUCAUUUGUGAAGCUUCCCCUGUGCAUAGCACUCCCAUGUGGUACUCAUACUCAGGUUAGCACGCAUGGUAAAGUGAUUAUUAUACAAUUUAUUAAUAUCAGUAUUUCUGUUUG